AUGACCACAUCACAUUGAAACACCAGUUCCCACAUGAUCACUGAAGUUAAGCAAUGUCGAGUCUAGUCAAUACCUAGACGAGUGACCACUUGGGAAUACAAAGUACUGUAAG
Molecule: non-coding RNA, 112 nt
Organism: Acanthosepion pharaonis
Lineage: Eukaryota; Metazoa; Mollusca; Cephalopoda; Sepiida; Sepiidae
Source: the annotation of a GenBank genome assembly